AAAUCACGGUUGAAACAAGAUUUAUCAUGAGAAGUCAGCAGACGCCAUAGUACCUCGUAAUGUCGACGCUAUGAGGGAAGGGC
This 83-nucleotide non-coding RNA is filed under the name Paenibacillus sp. OAS669. The record is from RNAcentral. Lineage: Bacteria; Bacillati; Bacillota; Bacilli; Caryophanales; Paenibacillaceae.